UCGUGUCGUGAGAUGUUCGGGUUAAGUCCCGCAACGAGCGCAACCCUUGUCACUAGUUGCCAUCAUUUAGUUGGGCACUCUAGUGAGACUGCCGGUGACAAACCGGAGGAAGGUGGGGAUGACGUCAAGUCCUCAUGGCCCUUAUGGGUAGGGCUUCACACGUCAUACAAUGGUCGGUACAGAGGGUUGCCAAGCCGCGAGGUGGAGCCAAUCCCUUAAAGCCGAUCGUAGUCCGGAUCGUAGUCUGCAACUCGACUACGUGAAGUCGGAAUCGCUAGUAAUCGCAGAUCAGCAUGCUGCGGUGAAUACGUUCCCGGGUCUU
Molecule: ribosomal RNA, 322 nt
Filed under: uncultured Thauera sp.
Lineage: Bacteria; Pseudomonadati; Pseudomonadota; Betaproteobacteria; Rhodocyclales; Zoogloeaceae
Description: bacterial SSU rRNA
Rfam family: Bacterial small subunit ribosomal RNA
Source: RNAcentral